This is a long non-coding RNA of Grus americana (Whooping crane), 1206 nucleotides long. RefSeq lists it as uncharacterized. The transcript is spliced from 3 exons. NCBI's taxonomy places the organism in Eukaryota, Metazoa, Chordata, Aves, Gruiformes, Gruidae. The record is from RefSeq and is a predicted model, not a curated record.
AUGCCGCUUCCGCUUCCGGGGUCGGGCGGCGGCCGUUCCUUCAGUGUCUUCUCCCUCAUACCCUGAGGGAGUUUCGUAACCGCUGCCGCCCCUCUAAAAUCACACUUUAUAUACCGCGAUUGUGAUAAUUUAACCCCUGAGUGCGGAGUUGCAAAGGCGGUUCUAGGCUAACGCGGUCUUCAGUUAGCAACAUCAUUCAUAUAGAAGCAAUAUGACUCUUAGCCAGAUCAUAUCGCAUCGCACCUCCAUGCAGUACUUCAAACUCAGAGGAGCGUCCCACCAGCAUCGACUAGUUCACCGUGACAAGGGAAAUCCUCUCCCAGGCUGAGCUCCCACUCUGUGGAUCACACAGGUCAAGAUAGAAGGCUGGCAGCAUUGAACAUUUCUUCAUAAUUCAGAAGCAAGCAGCAGCGUGGUUCCACGAGUAGAAUCCUGUGCCCUCACCCCAGGAACAGCUUGCGCUUUGUUCUUCAACUAAGUCAAGCCUUUCUGGUUUUAACAGCUCACCAGUAAGCUGGUGCCGGGUCUUACUCAAAUAGUUCAGUGAUUUAGGUUUUCACAAGUUACCACACAGCUCUCCUUAAAUUCUUACCACCCAUUGUUGUGAGAAAGGCCAAAGAGUGUGACAGAAAAGCAAGAAACAAGCUUGUAACUUUUUAAUGGAACUGUGAGGAAGAGUUAUCAUCUUGCUUGGGGAAACUGGAAGUGCUUUAGGGAGAAAGAAUGAAAAACUAAGAAAGUAACAUUAAAGAUGUUCACUUGCUGGAGACAUCAUACCAAAGAUUUCUUUACAUAAAAGGAAGACUAGCAGGCACUGAAUUUUAGUGGUAUGCAUGAUAGGUAUUUAUUUCUUUUUGUAAAUCUAUAACAAAACAGCUUAAAAUAGACAUCUGUAGGUGAAACCUUUUUCAUAUUUUAAAUGCAAAAUUAUUCCAAUAAAAAGAUAUUAUUUACAUUUAAUUUCACAUGCUAGAAAGGCUGAGUGGCUACAAAAAUAAGUGCUAUAAUGUAAACACCUUCUACUAACUCCAUGCUAAAUCCAAACUGAUUUUAUAGAGCUAUUAGAAUUACACGAACGCUAUUCACUUGAUUAUAGUUACAGAUACUUUGAGAAUGCAAAAAAUACCCAAACCCGGAGUAAAACCAGUCAGGGUUCACCCACUACCGACAAGUGCACUUGGUAGCUAUCAUAUCUUCAUACUCCUU